GACGAACGCUGGCGGCGUGCCUAAUACAUGCAAGUCGAACGAGAGCAACCGGUGCUUGCACUGGUCAAUCUAGUGGCGAACGGGUGAGUAACACGUGGGUAACCUGCCCAUCAGAGGGGGAUAACAUCCGGAAACGGAUGCUAAAACCGCAUAGGUCUUCGAACCGCAUGGUUUGAAGAGGAAAAGAGGCGCAAGCUUCUGCUGAUGGAUGGACCCGCGGUGCAUUAGCUAGUUGGUGAGGUAACGGCUCACCAAGGCCGUGAUGCAUAGCCGACCUGAGAGGGUGAUCGGCCACAUUGGGACUGAGACACGGCCCAAACUCCUACGGGAGGCAGCAGUAGGGAAUCUUCCGCAAUGGACGCAAGUCUGACGGAGCAACGCCGCGUGAGUGAAGAAGGUUUUCGGAUCGUAAAACUCUGUUGUUAGAGAAGAACAAGUGCUAGAGUAACUGUUAGCGCCUUGACGGUAUCUAAUCAGAAAGCCACGGCUAACUACGUG
Molecule: ribosomal RNA, 498 nt
Filed under: uncultured bacterium
Lineage: Bacteria
Description: partial 16S ribosomal RNA
Rfam family: Bacterial small subunit ribosomal RNA
Source: RNAcentral